GGAGGCGUGCCAGAGAGGAUGAACGGGGCGGUUUCGAAAACCGCUAUUCGCUUUAAAACCGAAUCGGAGGUUCGAAUCCUCCCGCCUCCGCCA
This 93-nucleotide transfer RNA is filed under the name Candidatus Pacearchaeota archaeon. RNAcentral describes it as "tRNA-Ser". It matches the Rfam family "tRNA". Rfam says of the family: Transfer RNA (tRNA) molecules are approximately 80 nucleotides in length. The record is from RNAcentral. RNAcentral also lists the same sequence under 1 other name. Lineage: Archaea; Nanobdellati.